GGGAGUAACUAUGACUCUC
Molecule: non-coding RNA, 19 nt
Filed under: Arabidopsis thaliana (thale cress)
Lineage: Eukaryota; Viridiplantae; Streptophyta; Magnoliopsida; Brassicales; Brassicaceae
Also listed under: 2 other names
Source: RNAcentral